This is a long non-coding RNA of Hippocampus comes (tiger tail seahorse), 993 nucleotides long. RefSeq lists it as uncharacterized. The record is from RefSeq and is a predicted model, not a curated record. The transcript is spliced from 4 exons. Lineage: Eukaryota; Metazoa; Chordata; Actinopteri; Syngnathiformes; Syngnathidae.
UCACCGUGGUUGGAUGCUAAGUACAAACAUUUAACUUUCCGACACGAUUGGUUUUGUGCGCGAUGCGUUUUCCGUGCACGUGAGGCAACUCGCCAAACGAAUGACACCUCGCCACGUGCGCUCAAGCUGCUGCAGACAUGUCGCUUUGGCGGUGAGAUGUCUGUUUCCCAAAAGACGACCGGCGACGAGGAGCUUCGUUGCCAGAAAAGCCCGCCAACCAUCGUACGGCCUUGGGUCUUACUCGGAGGAGUUAUUCGAAUCAUUUCGAGUGCACUACAAAUGGCGAACGCCAGUGCCACCAGCGAGUGGCUUUCAACACCUCGCUCAAGAUGCAUAUUGAGUGUUGUGGUGCUUGGCGUGGAGAGAUUAAAACGGCUCAUCUGGGAUGAAAUGGAGAUAUAUUACAAAUGGAUGCAAAUGAGGAGAGCGAGCGCCUGUCGACAGGCCGACGCCAGAGAUUUUCUUGAAGGCGGUCCUUUUUUCGGACAGGUAGAUGCUGUCCCUGACCUUCCUGUGUGGAAUUCGCAUGUUCUCCCCGUGCCAGCGUGGGUUGUUCUCCUGGGACUCAACUUUGCUCCCCUGUUCCAGAAACAGAAAAGUUGUGGGUGUACGAAGACAGCUGCGAUCGAUUCGAGCACGCCCGUGAUCCUCGUGGGGAGAUGCCCCUCACCUAAUGGAUGGAUGUUCUUUUCUACUUUAUAAUGUUCCGACUUUCAAACAUUUUCCCUUUAAGUUUAUCGACGUAUUGAGCAACCCUGCUGAAAAUCAUAGGGAAUUCACUGACGAGCUUAGCGCUCAGCGCCUAGCGCCGUUGUUUUUGCGCUGAGCGGUGAUUCAGUGAUGUGACUAGUUGCCCUCUAUGUCCAUCAAGUAACUUGAUGUAGUACGUUCUGUGUAUUGAGCGACGUUGUUUGAAUGGCGUUUUCGACGUUUGUGUGAAAUCCCAGAGCCACAUUGUACCAGCCAAAGAGCCACAUGCCGCUCGCCAGCCCU